UAAACGACUCUCGGCAACGGAUAUCUCGGCUCUCGCAUCGAUGAAGAACGUAGCGAAAUGCGAUACUUGGUGUGAAUUGCAGAAUCCCGCGAACCAUCGAGUCUUUGAACGCAAGUUGCGCCCGAAGCCAUUAGGUUGAGGGCACGUCUGCCUGGGCGUCCCGC
Molecule: ribosomal RNA, 164 nt
Filed under: Camellia saluenensis
Lineage: Eukaryota; Viridiplantae; Streptophyta; Magnoliopsida; Ericales; Theaceae
Description: 5.8S ribosomal RNA
Rfam family: 5.8S ribosomal RNA
About the family: 5.8S ribosomal RNA (5.8S rRNA) is a component of the large subunit of the eukaryotic ribosome. It is transcribed by RNA polymerase I as part of the 45S precursor that also contains 18S and 28S rRNA.
Source: RNAcentral